GUUACUGAUGAUCAGAAGCUUGUUAAUGUUGCUAAGAAAGUCAAGAAGAAACCGAUUUCCAAAUCGCAUGGCAAGAAGAAGAGCGAGGCUCCUUUUGUUGACGGUCCUUUGGUAAUUUUUAUUUUUUUAAGAAACUGGUUUUUCAAUUUAUAUUUUUGCAUGCUUCAGGUUUUCUAUUUACAGUUUUAUUUGAAUCUGUUUUUUUAUAAUAUAUAUGUUUUUAUUUUCAGUUUUUAGUUUUUCUCUUUGUGAUGGGUAACCAGUUUUUGAUUUUUUCUUUUUUUUUUCUUUGCGUAUUUUUAAUUUCGAUUGUUUAUAUUGUUUUUUCUCUCACAGGAAUAUUAUUUUAAAAUUGAUGUUAAGAAGAGGUUUGUUGGGAAACCUCAACUCUACAAUCCUUAUAAUGUCAUUGAUGAUAUCAAUGAGAACCUGUCAGAUGAUCAGAAGGAGUUGUUUCGCAAGUCUACAUUUGAGCAUUUUCUUGAUGUGAGCAACUUUAACUAUCAGAUACAGCUAAUUCAUCUCGUUCUUUUGUGGCAGAUUCACACCGAAAGGGAUGAUGUCGAGCUUUGGUUCAAAUUGGGAGACAAGGCUGUUCGUUUCAGAAUUGAAGAGUUUUCCAUAAUAAUCGGUUUGGAUUGUACUAAAUUUUAUGAUGUUGAUCUCUUCAAAUCAAAGAAGUUGCUUGCUUACAAGGAGGGUUUUUUUGCAUGCAUGGGCUUACUGAGAAGCUUACGGUGAAGGAAGUUGCUAGUGUUUUCUUUAGUGGUGCGUUGAAAGAUGACGAAGAUUAUGUGAAGAUAGCUCUUGUAUACUUCUUUGCUGGGUAUUUGUAUGGUUAUCCCCAAGGGAAAAAGAUUGACAACUUCAUAUUUGCUAUGGUUAAUGGAGAUGAUUACAUUGAAGUUUUCAAUCGGUUUGGAUGGGGGAAAUUAUUGUGGGAAAAGACUUUUCAUCACUUGAAGAUUGCAUUAAAAGAUGUUAACAAUACCCUUGAACAACUUGCUAAGAAGAAGAUGAUUGAGAAGGGUUACAAGCUUAAAGGCUUUCCUAUUGCAUUUCUUAUUUGGCUGUACGAGAUUAUCCUGUCUUUUUCUCCUUGAUUUUGCAAAAGAAUCAGCAACAAGAUUCCUCGUGUUCUGAAUUGGGAGAAUAGCCCUACAACGGAGUUUAGUGAAUUGAUUCAGGGUGUGUUCAACAAUCCGAAGAUUGUUGUAAAGGAUUUUGUUGCUUUGAGUGGUGAAAAAUCUCAAAGUCUUUUUUCUAAAUUCAAGUUUGAUCCUAAAUAUGUUCCGAAGAGGAUUGGUGGUGAUGUGUCUUCUGAUGAAGUUAAUGAUGAGGUCAAGGUAUUAAAAACCGGUUUCUGUUUGCAUUUCUUUUGUGUAUGUUUAUCAUUACUGUAUACUAUUCACGUUUCUCAUGGAAAGUUGGACCAGAUUUGUGUUGAAAUUAAUUCUAUCAAAGAGUGCCAACAACAAAUUAAGGAUGGUAUUUCCAGCUUGAGGAUUGAGUUUUUGAGUGAGUUUGCUAAAUUAGCAGAAAUUAUCAAUGGAUUGAAGAAGAAGGAGAAUGAUGGCAGUUCUAAGGAUUCUGAAUUUUUUUCAUCCCCUAUAAGAGAGGCAUACUAUCAGGAUAUAUCGAAUGAUGGUGGUGGGUUACAGUUGUCCGUUCAUACUGUUCAAGCUGAGGUAAAAGCUUUUUCACAUUUAUGUUUUGCAUUGUUUGAAUGUUAUUGUUCGUUCUAAAUGUUUUUUCUUCAAUUUUGUAGGAGGAAAAGGACACUUUGAAUUUUGAAAAUAUGUUUAUUGAUCCUGAUUUUCUUAAGGGUGUAGUUGAUAGCACUGUUAAGAGUGCUUUGAAGACAGAUGAUGUGUAAUGACCGCCUUAGUAAUUUGGAUUAGAAAAGGCAAUUAGCACUAAUUUCUGUCAUUUUAUAAUUAUUUGUGAAUUUAUUUAAUUGUGAAUCCCAAUAUUUAGAAAUAAAUAUUAGAGUUAUAAUUUCUCAAUUUCGGAGAUUUUAUUAAACUCUAGGGGUAUUAUUUAGCUUAUAUGUGAAAUGUGUUAUUUUUGUAAUUUUUGCUCGGCGACAACGGAAAAUGCGAUGGAUGGCUAGUUUAAUCAUAUGGGUAAGUUUAGAACUUUAUUUCUUAGCGGGAAAUAUUUUAGAGAAAAUAAUUAUCGGGAUUGAGCAGGGUUAUGGGAUUUGACCAUUUUACCCCUAGCUUUUGAUAUACCCUAGUUUUGGGUCAAAGGGCAUUAUGUCAUUUGGUUAAAUGGUGGGAUAGGUGGCUGCCCUAGUUUGGUGACACCUUGCAACAUUUUUCUCAGCCAAAAUUAAGUAGUUAAUUUACUUAGUUAGAAAGAAAGAGGAAUUAGAAGGAAAUACCAAAAAUAGAAGGAGAAGCUCUCUUUCUUCUCUCUCUCUUCUCGAACCAGCAAGACCAAGGAAAAGGGUUGUUGAUUUCUGAGUUUUUAGCAAGGAAAUCAAGGGAGAAAUUAAUCUAAGGUAAGCCCUAAUGAACUCCCCUUUAGUUUUCAUGUUUUUGCUUAGUUAGAAAUGGUGAAUUUGUGAAAUAGGGGCUGUUAGGUUUAGAAAUGCUUAGGGUUCGGUUUUUAUGUUCAAUAUUGGUUGUUUAGAGGUUCUGGUAGUUGAUUUUGGUGCUUGGUGUUAGUUCUAAGAAAGCUUGAGUUUUGAAACUCAAGCUUUGAGCUUUAAUGGCAAGUUGGAAUUUAUUGGUUUGUUCUGUGAUUUUCUGGUUGGUUUAGGUUGUAAUGCAAUGUAUAGGUACCCUGGAAGUUUUUAGAAAGUUUGGGAUUCAAUUGAUAAGGGGGUUGGUUUUUGUGUUCCCAGCACAGAACCGGUCGACCGGUUGGUGUUCCAGAAAUGGACUUUCGGUUGGGACCGGUCUGCCGGUUGGGGGAAUUUUUGGAACCCUAGUUUUUCCCAAUUUUGAGAUAUUUAGGGUAUUGCCAUGUUGUUUAUCGAUAGGGAAACUUUUAGUUUCAAGUUGGAGUCCCCGGAAAGUGAUUUAGCGAGUCACUCAUCUGUGUUGCAAAUAAUGUGAUUAGGGCAUCCAUCUAGCGCAAGCAUUUCCGUUCAGGUUGGCCAACACACUUGAAUUCGGAAAACAGGUAAGAACUGUAUAUAGCGUGUUAUAAGAGAUAUAUGCAUGUUGUAUGUAUGAUUGUAUAUGUUUUGGGUGAUAUCAUAGCGGCACAACAAUUGUGUCGGUUCGACAGUACAGGCAUCGUACAGGUUAAGAGUGAUAUUCACCCCAGAGAGUAUUAAUUGGCGCUAUCAUAGUGGCACAACAAUUGUGUCGGUUCGGCAGUACGGGCACAGUACUGGUUAAGAGUGAUAUCAUGGCCAAUUGUACUCUUGGGUGCUAUUGAUGCUAUCAUAGCGGUACGAACAUAGUGCCGGUCCCGCAGUGCGAUCAUAGUGCUGAUAGUGGGUGAUAUCAUGGUCAAUAGCACAGCUAGUUAGAACGUUCUUACUCAUCUGUUAAGCCUUGUAAAUAGGUGUAUGGGCGCCUAGUUACAAGUCGAAAGUUAUAUGAUAUGUUAUAUGCUUUUCUUACUGAGUCUGUUGACUCACAGUUCUACUUUCAUGUGUAGGUAAAGGAAAGGCGAUAACUGAACCGGAGUGAACCUGAGCUCGGAUGGAUUGUACAUGUCAAAGCAGCACAACCUGGAGUGUUCGGUCUCGGGACAUCUGGGAAUUGUAUUUUGACAGUCGUUGUGCGACCUGAAAAAUGUGUAUUUUGAAAUAUUACUUUUAAAAAGUUUGAAAACGGGAUCCCAGCACUUGUAAAUAUUUUGAUAUGUUAUAAAGUUUAUUAAUUAAUAUAAAAGUUUUAAUUUGACACGUUUUCCAAGAAAACUCUUCGAUUAGCGAAGAUUGCACUGUAAUUGAAAAAGCAUUGUAGCGUGCCUUAGCAGUAGGGCGUUACAAUUUUGGUAUGAGAGCCGCCAGGUUUGUCUACGGAAGCUUGCUAAGACAUGUACAAUCUUCAUCAGAGAAAGCUCGGUUCAUGGUUCAGUAAGCCCGUACUUGUUUAGUAUUUUAAAUAAUUGUGAAUGUGAAAGCAUGUUAGUGUUGGAAUUUAUUUUACCAGGAUCUUAGAUCUACUCACAAGUAUGUUUAUUAACAUCCUAAAUAUGAACUUUCUAAAACGAUAAAUUAAACACGUAUAAAGUUUAAGAAACCUUACAUUGGGUGCAGCGGAAUAUAAUGACUCCUUCCGUUCAGAUAUCUAGCCCUUGAUUCCUUUCUGUAGCAGAGCAUUAUCAAUAUCUGAACCUGGAUCUCUUUCUCUGAAUCCUUGAUGCUGAAACUCCUUUGUUGAUGAUCUUUCUUCACGAUCUUCCUCACUAUGAUUGAGGUAUCACUUGAUGUGUGUGGGCACUACUCUAAUCACUAAGGAUUUCGAAAUAUUGAAGAAGAAGAGAGAGAGUGGUCAGCUAAAGAUAGGGAGAGAGAAGGCUCAGUUUUUCUGAAUCAGAAAGUCUGAAGAAAAGUGUUAUGUUUCUGAAGCCUUCACUAUCUAUUUAUAGCAUUCCACUAGGGUUAGAUUUGAAUUAUAUGGCAUUAAAAUAAUGAAAAAAUCAACUUAAAAUAGCUAUAAAGGUGGCCGGCCAUACACUUAGUGGAUUGGGCCUUGUUUUUGCAAUUUUGCAAUUUUAACACAUUUUGUAUCUGAUUUUCUCAAAAAUGCCAAUUUCCUAAUUCAACCAUUUAAAUGCCAAUUCUAACUAUUUAAUAACUAUAAAUAAUUAUUAAAUAAUAUUGUCAUUUAUCAUAUUUAUUAAUUGAACCAUACAAAGUAUCAUAAUUAACAAAUAUGCCCCUAUAAACUCUUUCUUUACAAUUUCGCCCUUACUUAGUGAAAAAUUCACAAAU
Long non-coding RNA from Cannabis sativa, 4903 nucleotides. RefSeq lists it as uncharacterized. The record is from RefSeq and is a predicted model, not a curated record. The transcript has 3 exons. NCBI's taxonomy places the organism in Eukaryota, Viridiplantae, Streptophyta, Magnoliopsida, Rosales, Cannabaceae.